RNAcentral lists this ribosomal RNA (434 nucleotides) under uncultured bacterium. Its description in RNAcentral is "partial 16S ribosomal RNA". It matches the Rfam family "Bacterial small subunit ribosomal RNA", at positions 29 to 507 of the family's 1533-position model. The record is from RNAcentral.
AGCGAACGCUGGCGGCAGGCUUAACACAUGCAAGUCGAGCGGGCACUUUCGGGUGUCAGCGGCGGACGGGUGAGUAACGCGUGGGAACGUGCCCUCUGGUUCGGAAUAACUCAGGGAAACUUGAGCUAAUACCGGAUACGCCCUUUUGGGGAAGGCUUGCUGCCGGAGGAUCGGCCCGCGUCUGAUUAGCUAGUUGGUGAGGUAACGGCUCACCAAGGCGACGAUCAGUAGCUGGUCUGAGAGGAUGAUCAGCCACACUGGGACUGAGACACGGCCCAGACUCCUACGGGAGGCAGCAGUGGGGAAUAUUGGACAAUGGGCGCAAGCCUGAUCCAGCCAUGCCGCGUGAGUGAUGAAGGCCUUAGGGUUGUAAAGCUCUUUUAUCCGGGACGAUAAUGACGGUACCGGAGGAAUAAGCCCCGGCUAACUUCGUG